GGCCGUUCCAAGAUGCUGUCAAAAUUAAAUCAAUAUGGCUACUGGAAGGCAAACAUUGAAUAUUAUUCUAUCAGGUUCUUAUGGUUUUAGAUCAUUUUAGUUGUUGUACAAAGAUUAAUUUAACAUUUUCUCUGGAAGUAUUAAUUUAGAAAGAUAAUAUGCCUCAUUGGUGUUGUGUUUUGAAGUGUGAAAUGCAAAGUAAUCGUGAUAAAGUUAGCUUUUACCACUUACCAUCAGUGCUACAUUCUAAGCACAAAACUGAACCAAUUUAACUAAAUAAGUUAUAGUUAUCAUCUGAGAGACAACAACAAUGGUAAAAUGCAAUAAAAUAUAAAGAUUUUACUAGCAAAAUGGAAAUUCCCCUGUAAUCAUCUUAUAUCUGGUAAGUUACAACAUUUGAACAUUAACGAUUUUUGAAGAUGUUAACAGUCUAAUCUUGUAGGAAAACCAGCCGACUUAACUGAUAAUAACAAUCCAGAUUGGGUUCCUUCAAUAAAUAUGGGGUAUAUAAACACAAUGAAAUGAGUUCCCCAAAAUCUAAAAUGGGAAUUAAGGUACCAAAGGAGAAUUAAAAGAAAAGGGUACCUACAAGAAAAAAUUGCUUUUUUAUUCCUCUUGAAAUGAUUUAUAAGACACUGGACUGUCUUAUAUUCUACAAAUACUAGAAUCAGCUGAGAGAAGUGGUCUACAAAAACCCACGAAGGAAACGGAAUAUGUGGCUACGAAAGGCAAAAGAAAGGUUUACAAAGCAAAUGUGACACAUUUUUUUGAAAUAUUUAGGAAUAUCAGUAAAUUGCAUUAAAAAAAUGUAUGAAAAGAUUUUGUUCAAUAAAAAUGUUUAUAUUUA
Molecule: long non-coding RNA, 847 nt
Organism: Diabrotica virgifera virgifera (western corn rootworm)
Lineage: Eukaryota; Metazoa; Arthropoda; Insecta; Coleoptera; Chrysomelidae
Exons: 2
Source: RefSeq, a predicted model, not a curated record